RNAcentral lists this ribosomal RNA (464 nucleotides) under uncultured bacterium. RNAcentral describes it as "partial 16S ribosomal RNA". It matches the Rfam family "Bacterial small subunit ribosomal RNA", at positions 338 to 795 of the family's 1533-position model. The record is from RNAcentral.
CCUACGGGUGGCAGCAGUGGGGAAUAUUGCGCAAUGGGCGAAAGCCUGACGCAGCGACGCCGCGUGAGGGAUGAAGGUCUUCGGAUCGUAAACCUCUGUCAGCAGGGAAGAACGGUCACUGUGCUAAUCAGCAGUGAAUUGACGGUACCUGCAAAGGAAGCACCGGCUAACUCCGUGCCAGCAGCCGCGGUAAUACGGAGGGUGCGAGCGUUAAUCGGAAUUACUGGGCGUAAAGCGCUCGUAGGCGGUUUUUUAAGUUAGUGGUUAAACGUCGGGGCUUCACCUUGAUUUGCCAUUAAUACUGUAAGACUCGAGUUCAGACGAGGUAGGCGGAAUAAGUUAAGUAGCGGUGAAAUGCUUAGAUAUAACUUAGAACUCCGAUAGCGAAGGCAGCUUACCAGACUGCGACUGACGCUGAAGCACGAGAGCGUGGGUAGCGAACAGGAUUAGAUACCCCGGUAGUC